This 638-nucleotide ribosomal RNA is filed under the name Staphylococcus aureus. RNAcentral's name for it is "bacterial SSU rRNA". It matches the Rfam family "Bacterial small subunit ribosomal RNA", at positions 220 to 849 of the family's 1533-position model. Lineage: Bacteria; Bacillati; Bacillota; Bacilli; Caryophanales; Staphylococcaceae. The record is from RNAcentral.
UAUAGAUGGAUCCGCGCUGCAUUAGCUAGUUGGUAAGGUAACGGCUUACCAAGGCAACGAUGCAUAGCCGACCUGAGAGGGUGAUCGGCCACACUGGAACUGAGACACGGUCCAGACUCCUACGGGAGGCAGCAGUAGGGAAUCUUCCGCAAUGGGCGAAAGCCUGACGGAGCAACGCCGCGUGAGUGAUGAAGGUCUUCGGAUCGUAAAACUCUGUUAUUAGGGAAGAACAUAUGUGUAAGUAACUGUGCACAUCUUGACGGUACCUAAUCAGAAAGCCACGGCUAACUACGUGCCAGCAGCCGCGGUAAUACGUAGGUGGCAAGCGUUAUCCGGAAUUAUUGGGCGUAAAGCGCGCGUAGGCGGUUUUUUAAGUCUGAUGUGAAAGCCCACGGCUCAACCGUGGAGGGUCAUUGGAAACUGGAAAACUUGAGUGCAGAAGAGGAAAGUGGAAUUCCAUGUGUAGCGGUGAAAUGCGCAGAGAUAUGGAGGAACACCAGUGGCGAAGGCGACUUUCUGGUCUGUAACUGACGCUGAUGUGCGAAAGCGUGGGGAUCAAACAGGAUUAGAUACCCUGGUAGUCCACGCCGUAAACGAUGAGUGCUAAGUGUUAGGGGGUUUCCGCCCCUUAGUGCUGC